This 58-nucleotide transfer RNA is filed under the name Rhododendron lulangense. Its description in RNAcentral is "partial tRNA-His". Lineage: Eukaryota; Viridiplantae; Streptophyta; Magnoliopsida; Ericales; Ericaceae. The record is from RNAcentral.
AGGGGGCGGAUGUAGCCAAGUGGUUAAGGCAGGGGAUUUGUGAAUCCACCAUGCGCGA